RNAcentral lists this ribosomal RNA (465 nucleotides) under uncultured bacterium. Its description in RNAcentral is "partial 16S ribosomal RNA". It matches the Rfam family "Bacterial small subunit ribosomal RNA", at positions 28 to 507 of the family's 1533-position model. The record is from RNAcentral.
GACGAACGCUGGCGGCGUGCUUAACACAUGCAAGUCGAACGGAAAGGCCCUGCUUGCAGGGUACUCGAGUGGCGAACGGGUGAGUAGCACGUGGGUGAUCUGCCCUGCACUUCGGGAUAAGCCUGGGAAACUGGGUCUAAUACCGGAUAGGAGCCAUUUUUAGUGUGAUGGUUGGAAAGUUUUUUCGGUGUAGGAUGAGCUCGCGGCCUAUCAGCUUGUUGGUGGGGUAAUGGCCUACCAAGGCGGCGACGGGUAGCCGGCCUGAGAGGGUGGACGGCCACAUUGGGACUGAGAUACGGCCCAGACUCCUACGGGAGGCAGCAGGGGGGAAUAUUGCACAAUGGGCGCAAGCCUGAUGCAGCGACGCCGCGUGGGGGAUGACGGCCUUCGGGUUGUAAACUCCUUUCGCUAGGGACGAAGCUUUUUGUGACGGUACCUAGAUAAGAAGCACCGGCUAACUACGUG